AGUAAUGCAUCGGAACGUAACCUUUCUAGUGGGGAGUAACGUAGCGAAAGUUACGCUAAUACCGCAUAUUCUGUGAGCAGGAAAGACAGGGGAUCGCAAGACCUUGCGCUGAUUGAGCGGCCGAUGUCAGAUUAGCUAGUUGGUGAGGUAAAGGCUCACCAAGGCGACGAUCUGUAGCGGGUCUGAGAGGAUGAUCCGCCACACUGGAACUGAGACACGGUCCAGACUCCUACGGGAGGCAGCAGUGGGGAAUUUUGGACAAUGGGGGCAACCCUGAUCCAGCCAUGCCGCGUGAGUGAAGAAGGCCUUCGGGUUGUAAAGCUCUUUCGGCCGGGAAGAAAUCGCAUGGGUUAAUACCCUGUGCGGAUGACGGUACCGGCAUAAGAAGCACCGGCUAACUACGUG
Molecule: ribosomal RNA, 405 nt
Filed under: uncultured bacterium
Lineage: Bacteria
Description: bacterial SSU rRNA
Rfam family: Bacterial small subunit ribosomal RNA
Source: RNAcentral